RNAcentral lists this long non-coding RNA (1828 nucleotides) under Acyrthosiphon pisum (pea aphid). Its description in RNAcentral is "uncharacterized LOC115033380". The record is from RNAcentral. Lineage: Eukaryota; Metazoa; Arthropoda; Insecta; Hemiptera; Aphididae.
AGAUACAUAUAAUACAUACAGUUUUAAUUCGUACGCGACCCUAAAUAAUAAGUUGGCGACCCCAUGGGGGGGGGGGUCACGACCCCCAGGUUGAGAAACACUGAUAUAAACUGUAUUGUUAUCGUUAUGUCAUUCUUUAAGUUUUACUUUUUUGUUUAAUUUCGUAACUUAUUAUAAUUUUCCAGAUUUUUGUACAUACAAAUAACAUUUUGAACGAGUCAUAUAUGAACACAGUAAUGAACCAACACUUCUCUCACAUAAGAUAAAUACAGACAACUAAUGAAACAGACGUAUAGGAUGUCAACCCGUCGAAAGGAGUCUGUGUCAAACUUCAAUGACACAUUAUUACUAUGCAUCAGGGCAUCCUGUAGCGAGGGUCAAAAUCAGUGGCUCGGUUCAUAAAUAAUAUGGAUGCCCAAUGGCUUACUGACGUCAAAAGUUAGGCGUCAAUGCGUUAUACACAAAAAACUGAUUUGAAUUUCCCAGUAUUAUUGUUGUAACUCGUAUUCGAUUAUUGGUAUAUAUAAGCUUAAUGGAAGACGUAUAUUUUGUACAUAAUUAAUGUUCCUAGGUACACUGAUUGUAUUUUUGUUAUUUCGUAAUUAAAACGGAUUUCUGAUAAGUGAAAUUUUCUUUGUUCAACUUCUGAAUUCUUCUGAAUUAAACUAACCAAAAAUAGUCCAUCCACUACCCAGAAGAGUUUCCAACUGACUAAAAUACUAGUAAAAGCUCCGAUUUUCAAAAUUAUAGACAAAAGACGAUAUCCCGUACAACAUUAUUGUUACAAGACCGAAGAUAAAAUUGGAAGAAUAGAAUAUUCGAGAGCGAGAGGGAAAUAGAGAAAAAUAAUUCCACUAAAUUGGUUAUUUAUGCACAUAACCAGACGUUUCUGUAGAAUUUGCUUUUCACAUUGUUUUGUUUUGAACAAAUGGUUCCUACAAGUAGCCCCUGUAGAUGAUUACCAUCAGUGCAAAUCGUACAAGUCACACACUAAACCUACGUGAAUUACACAUGAAUACUUAAUUAGGGUCAGAGGGACUUCACGCUCUGUAAUAAAUUAUCUUAAAUCCACAAAAUAUCACUAAAAUAUAUUAUGCAUUUAAAAAUAAAUACUGUUUAAAUGACAUAAAAUAUCAAGCAAUAGAGUUGUUUCAUAUAUAAAUAAAUUAAAUCAAACAAAACCGUUAGUUGUAACUUGUAGUAAUCGUAAUAGUUCUUAGUACGUAUCGUACACUUUUGGUUUUGAGCACUAUUUUCAGUAUUUUUUUUAUACGUUCACAUUAUACUAUCAUUAUUCUGCAAACUCGACCGACGUAAAACGAACACACAUCUUUGACUGAUUAAAUUAUUAGAAAAUUAGUAAAAGCCGAAAUAAAGUCGGACGAAGUUGGAGUUGUUAUUGUUUAUUAUGGAUUCAAACCAUUGUAAAGGAAACAUAUAAAUGUAAAAUAUUUGUAAAAUAUAUUUAUUCACUUCUUGAAUCCAAAACAGUAGCCAAAAACGAGGUUACGAGAAAAAAAAUGGGUCAAAUAUUAUGCACAAUACACUAAAACAUACAAUAUAUGUUUUUCAACGUAAGAUCUUUUUUUUCGUAAUGAAACACAUUUGUAUAAUAUCACUUAAACUCCUAAAUGUCGCCCUAGCCUUAUACAUAAUAAAUAUUAUUUUUUAUAUACGUGUCUGGCGACUUCUUCGCGAGCUAAAUGGCAUAUACACUAUACACUCGUACGACGUAUUGUUAUUUUUAGUCGCCUUCUUCCACCGCGCACUUACGACUCUAAUUAAAAAAAAAAAAUCUGUCUAGUAUAGUGUCAUCGUCGUAUGGACC